RNAcentral lists this ribosomal RNA (336 nucleotides) under Clostridioides difficile. RNAcentral's name for it is "bacterial LSU rRNA". It matches the Rfam family "Bacterial large subunit ribosomal RNA", at positions 189 to 528 of the family's 2925-position model. The record is from RNAcentral. Lineage: Bacteria; Bacillati; Bacillota; Clostridia; Peptostreptococcales; Peptostreptococcaceae.
GGAACUGAAACAUCUAAGUACCUGAAGGAAGAGAAAGAAAUUCGAUUCCGUAAGUAGCGGCGAGCGAACGCGGAUUAGCCCAAACCAAUAAAGUUUUCUUUAUUGGGGUUGCGGACAUAUCAUAACGGAGAGGUAUCGUAAUUGAAGAGGUUUGGAAAGACCCACCACAGAAGGUAAUAGUCCUGUAUGUUAAAUGAGAAGACUUUAGAUAUGAUCCAGAGUACCACUGGACACGUGAAACCCUGUGGGAAGCAGGAGGGACCACCCUCCAAGGCUAAAUACUACCUAGUGACCGAUAGCGUAUAGUACCGUGAGGGAAAGGUGAAAAGAACCCCG